GUCACAUCAUGCUUUUAUGACGAAAAAGGAGCUCAUUUACAAGACAGACGGUAUAUAAAACAUACAUUUAAAUUAAAAAAGAAGUCAUAUGUGUUCUAUAGACAAAUACAUUAUUGUCUUAUCCUUCCCUUUGAGACCAAGCAGCCAUGGGACUGAGCAAAACAUGGGCGAUCCCCGGAGAAAAGAAACAGCCGAUAAAUCCUAUUUUACUAUACCUACACUAUUUACAGUUCAACAGUCAUUUUCCUCUGUCAGACAUGGCAAGGAGGUCUACAGAUUGGAUGACAUGAUAUGGCUAAUAGAGCUAAUAUGUACAGUUCCUGUUCUUCUUCUCCAAGGAUCCACUUGCUAUGGCACAAAAUUUACAUGCUAGAAAUAUUCACGUACACACAGACGCUCAAGAAGCCGGAGAGGAUCAGAGUCCAGGUUUGGUAUUGAUUGUAUAACAGUCUCUUUGAUAUUAAUGAUUGAUCGUUUUAACGCCAUUCGACCUGAUAAGCUGCUGUUUUUACAUUGGCUCUGCAUUUAGUUGGAGCUCUCGGCACCCAUUCCUAGGUUUCAGCGGUCAGCGACAGUCACAUGAAAGAGGAACAAAUAUCAAAGAGUGAUGGAUGAAAGAUGUUCUGAGAUACUCAACGAGGUCAGUGCCAGGCUGAUAGAUAGAUAGAUAGAUAGAUAGAUAGAUAGAUAGAUAGAUAGAUAGAUAGAUAGAUAGAUAGAUAGAUAGAUAGAUAGAUAGAUAGAUAGAUAGAUAGAUAGAUAGACAGAUAGAUACUUUAAGUAUUAGUAUUAUUUUACCUGUUUGUAUUGAAUAAGAGAGCGCCAAGAAAUACAGAGCUAUACCAAAUGAAAGCUUCCUCUAAAGAGUGGGAGAGUGACAAGGUUCAAGAUAGAUCAAUGAAAGUAUGCCAUUAAUAAUCCUGUCCCCACACAGCAUGAUUGAUCAGUCCCACCAUCCUGCUUGGAAUAUCAAUAGCUUUAUCAACAGCUUACACAUCAGAGCAGAUCAUCUGUUUGAAGAUAGAUAUGUGUAAAAGUACAAUCAUCCCAAGUAAACAAAUGCUUCUUUAUAUAUAUAUUCGUGAAUGCCGGUGACUCUUUGCCCCCUGGCUUUAACUUGUACCAGAUUAAAACACACGUUAGUCGUUUCAGCCAGUCCCAUGGCCAGCGACGAUGGCACCCAUGGCUCUCUGUACAAGUGUAGGUGAGAGUUUGGCAAGACCAAUCACUGUAUACAAAAGGCAUGCAUAGAUUUAAUCUGCUAAGACCACAAGAAAGAAACUUGUUUUUUCUUCUUCUCUAGAGAGUAGCCGAUCAUUUGCUGAGCAGCACUUAAUCAUAUACAGAGAAAGAAUAAUGCUGUGAAGUUUUUUGGGGGGAGGGUUUGGUGAGACUGGUGGUGGGGGUUUAAGUGUGUAAUCUCCAGACUGAGUCAGAGCAGUUUGCUUUUUGAUGAGAUGGAGGCCUCUCCUGCUCCCACUGCAGGCAGAAACACACCCAGUGCCAAGACGGGGGACACGCUAUGGCUAUAAGAAAAUCAGUGAAGCACUGACUUAUGAAGCUAACAGUCAAUUUUCUCGCUUACCUGCUUGAGACCCCGAGCUGUUGCUUUGGUACAACAGCAUUCAGGAUUUGUUUCUCAUACUCACAGUGACCACUGGGGGUCAGUAUUG
Oreochromis aureus is the source of this 1673-nucleotide long non-coding RNA. Lineage: Eukaryota; Metazoa; Chordata; Actinopteri; Cichliformes; Cichlidae. The record is from Ensembl.